Long non-coding RNA from Equus caballus (horse), 1999 nucleotides. The record is from Ensembl. NCBI's taxonomy places the organism in Eukaryota, Metazoa, Chordata, Mammalia, Perissodactyla, Equidae.
UACUUUUUUAAUAUUUUGGAAGCUAUUUUCCAACAGCUUGAGUAAUAACAAAUUCAAUCUUUCUCUAUUUAUAAAUUCAAAUUCUUGUACCAGGCAGGAGAACUGGCUGGCUGACUCUCCCUUGGACAACAGUUUAUCCCCAGACACCCUAGCUUGGAGCAUGGCUCUGGCAAUCUAUUAAGGAAUGUUCCUUUUUGAGGGGAGAGAAGGGGCAAAGAAGCAGUUCCAUGUCUCUAACGUUCUGUCCUUCGUAUCUAUCACAAUUUUAAAUAUGCUCAACCUUUGACCCAGCAAUUCUACUUCUAGGAAGACAGCCUGAAGAAAUUCGAGUACAAGUAUUCCAGAUGUUGCUUUUAUCGUACAGAAGCUGUUUUUUUCCAGAAUGCUCCAACACAUUCCUACUCUUUCGCCCUCUAGAUAAAUGUCUUUCAGUGGACUUUAGAGUUAACAAUAGUGAGCAUUUCUCAAGCUACAGCCAAAGAAACUCCCUUAGGUCUCUAAGCCAACCAGAAAAAAGAAAAUAGCUCAAAAAGGAGGUAAAAAUCAAAGAAAGAAAAAUAUUAAUAAAAUAAGACUCCAGGAUAAUGAGUAAUUGGUGAGACCAGAAGGUGACAAAUUGAUCCGGUAACUGAUUUGCCUGGAUAGCUUUCAACUAAAUGCUCUCAAAAGGAAGAUAUUCUGAAUGAAACAGAAGACCCCGAAACCUUUCCUUUCCACCACCAACCCCCAGAAGCAGAAAGUCAUGAAGGCUCAGUCAGUUGCCCAUAAACUGUGUUCCUGGGUCUUGGCUACAUUGCCAUCAUUUCAGAUGAGCCCCAUCAAUACCAGAUGGACCCCCCGGAUACACGCUCAUUAGUCAUAUGCUUUAAGAUGAGCCCAGUUCUCACACCCACCCGAUGGUGGCAACGGAAAUGAUUACUCUGGGCACCCUGACUGCGUGACUGUGAAAGCAACUGUUUGGUGUUAACUGAUUUGCAUAAUGGUGGAGAACUCCCAGUUUGGGGGAAGUCUUUUCCUAUUUCUGCAGUUCCACAUGCCGUGCUAGUUUCUAAGGGAGCAGGAGCCAGAUACUGAAGCCAUGUCACCCCCUUGUUUGAGGGAGCAGUGCCUCUCAUCACCCUAUACCGCCUCAGUCUAGUCACAUGAGCCCUUAAAAGCAGAGGGAGCAGUUGCCCUGGAAGUUUCCAUGCUAUGGGCAAUGUAUUCAGACCCCAGGACAAGAUCUGAGUGCACGCUCAACCCUAAAAGGGGGAUGAGAAUAAUUUGAUUGAAAAAUGUCCCCAUAGCCUCAUCUUGAAAGAACGAAGUCUUUUUUCCUUCCUUUUACCCAGCAGGCGAGUAGUGUUUUUUAUCUUCCAGGCAUAACUCUUGGAAAGAAUGGAGCUACUUGUUUCAAAAGCCUGUGCUAAUGGGAAUAAACAGUUAAAAUAAAGUUUUUCCCAACUUCAGGGUAAGAAUGACUUUGUGUAGAUAUGGAGGACUGAAAGGAAAGUGGGUUCUACCAGUGGCAGAGAUCAGUACCCCACCCAAUGCUCCAGGAGAUACUAGGACUUUUUCAUAAAGCUGGGAUGUGGAUUCCCCACGACUGAACCUGGAAAAACAAGCCUAGCGGCCCAUGGCCAAAUUUCAUAGGACAGAACUAGGGCUGAAACAAAGAGACUUUCGAGCAGAAUAACUGUCUGACUUCAAAUGAAACACCAUUUGGACAAUAAGCAGUUCAUGAGCAACAAUUACAAUAUGAGCCGAGAAUGCCCCCCCAACUUCCUGAACACUGUAGAAAACCUUCCAUUUUUAUAUAAUCCCAGAGAAUAGAAGGGGACCACCAAGCAUACCAAAAAUUUCAUUUCUUAUCAGAUAGGCAAACAAAGACUCAGAGUCAAGUAUGAUUUAACAGAGAAAAGUAAAAUAAAUAUUACAUUUCUUGCACACAAAUAUGGUGGAACAAAUUCAUGCCUCUUUAGAAAAUGAUCAGGAUAAAUCCUAUCAUGAUUCAAAUCCC